RNAcentral lists this transfer RNA (64 nucleotides) under Cacopsylla picta. RNAcentral describes it as "tRNA-Met". Lineage: Eukaryota; Metazoa; Arthropoda; Insecta; Hemiptera; Psyllidae. The record is from RNAcentral.
AGAAAAAUAAGCUAAUUUUAAGCUAUUGGACUCAUAAUUCAAUUAUAGGUUUACCUUUUUUCUA